CCGCCCUGGUUCCCCUGCCUAUUGCCUGGAGGGGCAGCCUGUGCUGAGCACAGUGAUGUGCUGUGGGGUGAAGGGAGGCAGCACGGUGGCACUGAGCUGAUCCCUGUGAGCAGGACUGGGAGCCGACAUGGAGAUAAACAUUGCUGUGCCAACCUUGGUGCUGCCAUCUACACACUGGGUAUGAAGCUGCUUUGUACAUUUGCAUCUACCUUCUGUUUCUCACCACCGCUCAAACGUUCCCUCAGAUCCCACAUUUCAGUGAGCUAUGUUUCAGAAACCUAAAGCCACUUGUGUCCUAGUGAUUCUCUGGGAAGAGGAACAAACCAAGGACUGCCUGUCUUCUGUGCAUUCCUGAUCAGGCCUGCAAGAAGGCAGCUAUAACUGAUACAACACAUAAAG
Long non-coding RNA from Gallus gallus (chicken), 399 nucleotides. NCBI's taxonomy places the organism in Eukaryota, Metazoa, Chordata, Aves, Galliformes, Phasianidae. The record is from Ensembl.